CGGUGUGUGGCGCAGCCUGGUAGCGCACUUGCAUGGGGUGCAAGGGGUCGGAGGUUCGAGUCCUCUCACACCGACCA
Molecule: transfer RNA, 77 nt
Filed under: Polaromonas vacuolata
Lineage: Bacteria; Pseudomonadati; Pseudomonadota; Betaproteobacteria; Burkholderiales; Comamonadaceae
Also listed under: 3 other names
Description: tRNA-Pro
Rfam family: tRNA
About the family: Transfer RNA (tRNA) molecules are approximately 80 nucleotides in length. Their secondary structure includes four short double-helical elements and three loops (D, anti-codon, and T loops).
Source: RNAcentral